Molecule: long non-coding RNA, 974 nt
Filed under: Linum usitatissimum (flax)
Lineage: Eukaryota; Viridiplantae; Streptophyta; Magnoliopsida; Malpighiales; Linaceae
Description: long non-coding RNA (LUSI_LNC008121)
Source: RNAcentral
CAUGAGGAUUCAAAACAGGUGGUAGCAGAAACUCAUGUUUAUUGAUCUAAACUCGUAGUCGAUGACAGCCAAAAAGAGUUGAAAGAAAAUUAGCCAAAAAUCAGCCUCCAACCUCUCCCUUCUCUCACUCUUCUUUAAAGAUUAAUAGCACCAAACCAAAAGCUAUUAAUAAUCAGAUAAAUGCUCUUGGACCAAAAAAAAAAGCAAAUUGCACCAUCUCUGACAUCACAAAUGGUCACUCGUCUAAGCACGUUUUUAGAAAACCUACUUGGAGGAACCAUUUGGCAAAUCGCCAGAUGGGUUCAACUCAUCCCAUGCUUCAAUCCAAGUGACCAUUGCAUCAGCCAGCUUCACAAAGUACUCGUCGACCUUGCCAAGCUUGGACCUUACUUGCUUUGACAGCUCAAUGUAGCACUUCUGCACGGUGUUGCAUUCCUUAGGCAGAGCUGCAGACUGGAAAAACGGGAUGAGCUCUUCUUGCCAGUAGAUUCCUUUGUAUUCCUUCUUCAGGUUCACAAAUGGGUUGCUUGCCUUGCUGUGGUAGAUAUAUGGCAAACCAGUCUUCACCCCCAAACCCAGAUGGUCACAGAUAACCUAAUACGUUAGAAAAUCAAAACUCAAGGGUUCAGUUCAGCUGCAUUACGUUUUCAUUCAUCAGAAAAUGGCAUGUAAUUAACUUGGUUAGCAAGCAAACCUUGGUACACCAUCCAGCCCACAUGUCGUCGUAGCGACCGAUUGGCUGGCCAUCACCCAUGAGGCCGAAGUACAUUGCAGGGCCGAUCAACUCACGGUUGAAUGCAAGGUUCAGUCACGGUUGAAUGCAAGGUUCAUCCCACACAUUGGGUAAAGGGUUCCCUUGGGAAUUGUCAUUACAGCAUCCACAUAUCUAGUGUUCCUCUCGAGUGGCUUGACUAGCUGGGUUGGAGCAUCGUAGUCAGGAAUGUUGAGCCAGAGGCCAUGAGACACUGCAGUGG